UCUAAUUAUCAUUAACUACUAUUAUUAACUAUUAUUAUCAAUUAAAAUUCCACACAAUAUUAACAAUUACGAAAAUCUAAACAGAAUGGGCCUUGGAACCAAACCUUAAGCCCAAAUGGGAGGUGCAUAGGCUAUGGAGGGAGUGAAUAUGGCCAAAAACUGAAGGAUCGGGCCUAGGGCCCAAUCGAUCCAGCACUGUAGCAACGGGAUAUACAUCCCCUAGGUUUAUCUUCCUGCGAACAAAUCCACAAGCCCUCUCCCACUUGAAAACAUGGCCGGCGAUCACCUAACGACUCCGCCGCGCCGGAGCUCAUUGUCGGCGGCGGCGGCGGAGCCCUCAAUCGCCUCACGCUCACCUCCCUACAACCGCUACUACCGUCUCAAACUUUCCUAAAUGACUCCAUAAACGAACUUAUCCACAAACCACAGCCAAACGAUAACGCACGAUCCUCACAACGGAUGAAUCAAACGCCGAACAACGACGGAGCGUGACUCGACCAAGGACUACAAGGUUAUGCUUCCGCGAGACAAGAUUCGCAUCACCAUCACGAUUAGAUCGAAAAAUCGUGAGAAGACGAGAAACCUACCGGCGACGGCGAAGGUGAACUCGUCGGCAGAGGUCGAACUCUGUGCUCCUGAACCUCUAUUUCGUUCAAGUUACUUCUACUCCUCUUCUAUUCUUCUUCAGCUAUGUGCGCAAGGUAUCGGGAGAAUGAAGAAAUGGUGAAUGCAGAGUGAAACCGCGUGAAGACGAUGAGCGAGUACGAUGCACUGCAGUGACGGAUUAUGGAAAAAUUGUGCAGGUGGUUAGCUGGUAUACGUUUUGGAGGUUGCAUUUGCAUUGCCGUUUUGGAGUUGUUGCCGCGUUAUGGUCGCGUGUUGCUUGCGUCAUUGGCUUGACUCACGCUUUGGAAGCUGUUUGUAGCUUUGUUGCAGCUUUUGGAGUUUUUGCAAGUGGCUCAUGGAUAACAGCGCGUUGGGUGGUAGCUUGCUGCGUUUUCAUUUUUGGCGUUGUAUUUGUUUUUUUCUGCUGCAUUUUGCAGCUUUUUCAUGUCGUAGCAGCUGCGUUUUGCAGCUUUUGAAGUGUUGGCUGCUGCUAAGCUUUGUGGCUUUGGUAUUGGAUCACUGGCAUAUAGUACUGGGUUUUGUUGGAUUAA
This is a long non-coding RNA of Lathyrus oleraceus (garden pea), 1157 nucleotides long. RefSeq lists it as uncharacterized. The record is from RefSeq and is a predicted model, not a curated record. Lineage: Eukaryota; Viridiplantae; Streptophyta; Magnoliopsida; Fabales; Fabaceae. The transcript is spliced from 2 exons.